This 492-nucleotide ribosomal RNA is filed under the name uncultured bacterium. RNAcentral describes it as "partial 16S ribosomal RNA". It matches the Rfam family "Bacterial small subunit ribosomal RNA", at positions 29 to 507 of the family's 1533-position model. The record is from RNAcentral.
AGUGAACGCUGGCGGUAGGCCUAACACAUGCAAGUCGAACGGCAGCACAGUAAGAGCUUGCUCUUACGGGUGGCGAGUGGCGGACGGGUGAGGAAUACAUCGGAAUCUACUUUUUCGUGGGGGAUAACGUAGGGAAACUUACGCUAAUACCGCAUACGACCUACGGGUGAAAGCAGGGGAUCUUCGGACCUUGCGCGGAUGAAUGAGCCGAUGUCGGAUUAGCUAGUUGGCGGGGUAAAGGCCCACCAAGGCGACGAUCCGUAGCUGGUCUGAGAGGAUGAUCAGCCACACUGGAACUGAGACACGGUCCAGACUCCUACGGGAGGCAGCAGUGGGGAAUAUUGGACAAUGGGCGCAAGCCUGAUCCAGCCAUACCGCGUGGGUGAAGAAGGCCUUCGGGUUGUAAAGCCCUUUUGUUGGGAAAGAAAAGCAGCAGGUUAAUACCCCGCUGUUCUGACGGUACCCAAAGAAUAAGCACCGGCUAACUUCGUG